Molecule: transfer RNA, 69 nt
Filed under: Abramites hypselonotus (marbled headstander)
Lineage: Eukaryota; Metazoa; Chordata; Actinopteri; Characiformes; Anostomidae
Description: tRNA-His
Rfam family: tRNA
About the family: Transfer RNA (tRNA) molecules are approximately 80 nucleotides in length. Their secondary structure includes four short double-helical elements and three loops (D, anti-codon, and T loops).
Source: RNAcentral
GUAAAUAUAGUUUAAAUAAAACACUAGAUUGUGGUUCUAGAAAUAAAGGUUAAAGUCCUCUUAUUUACC